Molecule: long non-coding RNA, 969 nt
Organism: Balaenoptera acutorostrata (minke whale)
Lineage: Eukaryota; Metazoa; Chordata; Mammalia; Artiodactyla; Balaenopteridae
Exons: 5
Source: RefSeq, a predicted model, not a curated record
CAGAAGUUUAUUCUCCUGUAGUUCUGGAAGUGAGAAACUGAAAAUCAAGGUGUUGGAUAGGCCAUGCUCUCCAUGAAGCCUCUAGUGUAUAAAUAGAACCUCAGAAGAUGGUUAAGCUGAAGAGAGAGCCUUAAGAGGACAGCAUUCCAGCAGGAUCAAUUAACAGUUUGAAUAUGAAGAAUGAAAGCAAGGAAUUUCCUGGGGCACAAGUGUCCUGCCAGCAUCAACUUUGGAAGAUCUUCUAUGGAAGAAAAAUUAAGGAUGUUCUUUUGCUGUCUGUCCACUAAUUAUUCAAGAUGCUGAUUGUAGUAACUGUAGAUCACCUUUAAUGAUUGCAUGGAAGGGGCGAAAUACUCUGCUGGAUGAGAGACAUUCUAUUCUAUUCUUCUACUAAUUGAUCUUAUGUCUGGACAACAAGAAGAUUUUGAACUUGCUGUUUCUGAAAGAUGGCUGAUCUACACAUAGAAAAUCUGAAGACUCAUCACAUCACUACCAGAGGAAGAUUGUUUCAAAAAAUGGCUCCAAUUAUCUGUUUCAUUCUACCUGCCCUUUUCUUCUCUCAUCAAGAGGUGGUGUCUCUUUCUCUUCUCUUUGUGUCAGUACCAGCCUUGUGACUUGCAUUGGCCAAUAGAACGGUGGAAAUCAUGCUGUGUGAUUUCUAGUCCAAGGCCUUAAGAGGUCUUGCAGCCUCCUUUUUGCCUUCUGGGAAACAAGUCACAUGGGAAAGGGAUCAAGCUAGACUACUGAAUUAUGAGAGGCCAGCUGGAGAGAGAGUGGUUCCAGCCUCCCAUCCAUUUUUGCUGAAGCCCAGACGUAUGGGUGAUGCCAUCUUGAACUUUACAGUUCAGCCCAGUCACCAACUGAAUGUAGUACCAGCUGAGUCCAGGUAAGAUAAGCAGAAGAACCACUUAGUCGAUCUAUAAAAUUAUGACAAUAAAGAGUAUUCUUUUAAGCCAAUAAGUUAUGUAA